RNAcentral lists this ribosomal RNA (301 nucleotides) under uncultured bacterium. RNAcentral describes it as "partial 16S ribosomal RNA". It matches the Rfam family "Bacterial small subunit ribosomal RNA", at positions 509 to 807 of the family's 1533-position model. The record is from RNAcentral.
CAGUAGCCGCGGUAAUACGAAGGGGGCUAGCGUUGUUCGGAAUGACUGGGCGUAAAGGGCGCGUAGGCGGCGAUCAAAGUCAGGCGUGAAAUUCCUGGGCUCAACCUGGGGGCUGCGUUUGAUACUUGAUUGCUAGAGUGGGGAAGAGGGUCGUGGAAUGCCCAGUGUAGAGGUGAAAUUCGUAGAUAUUGGGAAGAACACCGGUGGCGAAGGCGGCCAUCUGGUACAACACUGACGCUGAGGCACGAAAGCGUGGGGAGCAAACAGGAUUAGAUACCCCAGUAGUCCCUGUCUCUUAUAC